Molecule: long non-coding RNA, 3035 nt
Organism: Apis cerana (Asiatic honeybee)
Lineage: Eukaryota; Metazoa; Arthropoda; Insecta; Hymenoptera; Apidae
Source: RefSeq, a predicted model, not a curated record
AAAAAGACUUUUAAAUGAAAGUCUAUAGAAAAAUGUAUUGAGAAUUGAUUGACAAAAAAAUUUAUGAUUAAAUAACAUGAUAUUGAAAGUGAAGAAUAAAAAAAUGUGAAUGAAUAUGAAAAUGAAGAUAGAGAUAAGAUGAAGAUAAAGAUAGAAAAAGAAAUGGAGAAAUAAUAUUUAUGAAUAUUCAGGAAAUCGUUAAUCCUAAUUAAAAUACCAACAAGAUGCAUUGAGAAAAACGUCAAAAAUUCAACGUAAGACGACAAGAAAUUAGACAGAGUUUUAAUUAUUAUCUCAUAAAGGCUAGAUAAAUCAGAAUAAUUAUAAAUCCAAUAGUGAGCAUAAAACGCAACGAUAGAAAGAUGCAUAGAAAUCGAGAGCAAGCUGAAAGCUAUGCGCCGAUCCAUCGCUAGAGGGGAAAGGAAAAAAAAAAAAGAAAGAUGAAUAGAUCGGGUAUUCGAUUUCGAUUGCGCUUUCACUGUUAUAUAUAUAAUGAAUAUAUGUGUACACGAACGUGAUAACAUCGACACCGUCGAACCAGGUCAAGUGCAUUCAAUAACUAUUAUACCUUCUGUGCCACUCCGUAUGCACCUCCGGAGUGCAUUCAAAGGAACUUACAAAUUACGUUGUUAGUAGUCCGCGACACGCGUCACUACUAACACUGGAUGACAGAGACCACGAUGGUCCGAUCUGCGUCAUUGAUCAAUGAUCCGAAUGAUGCGCCACUCAAAACAAUUAGACGCAACAAUUUAUCGCAAACAAUUGGAUUUUUGAUUAAUUAUUACAUCGGUAUUCGAGUAGUCAAGAUAUUUUACUUAUUUAAAAAUUAGCGAAAUUUAAUAAUUUUAAUAAUUUGACAUAAGAAUUAUUGUGUCUGGAUUAUAAAUAAAUAUUGGAAAUAAACGAAUCGAAUGUAAAAAUUUCAACAACGUGCACAAUAUAUCAUAAAUAUGAGACACGUGUUAAGUACAAGUGAAAAAAUAUUCGCUUAAAACAAUUCGUUUUGCAAAAAAUAUAUAAGAAAUAACAAAUUUCAUCGUAAAUAAAAAUUUGCUCAUUAACGUAUCUGUAUUUAUUAUGAUUAUGAAAUUUUUAUUUUUGACGUACUGAAGAGAAUGUAUCGUUCACCUCGAAUUUCUUUGUGCUCUAUUUUAUUAAAUUUCCGGAAAUACGAUCAUUCGAGGCCACUACUCUCCGAGUUAAAAAAUGGUAGACACAAAUUGAACAAUUCAACCGUAAACCAUUUCUUCUAAUCAAUGACAACAUGAUAGCUAAACUAUAAAAAAGAUAGAAAAUGUUGGAUACCCUUAUCCAUUAAAUGGGGUUGCAAUAUUCCUUCGAUGUCUUCAAGUAGAUCACCAUAAGAUGGAUCAUUCAAUGGCCGAUGGAUCCUUUAUUAUCAGAUUUAUGGUAUAGAAAAAUAUUUAUCACUAGUCAUAAUUUAGUUUAUAUUUACGUUAUUAUAUUAAUUUAAUUAGUUUAAUCUAUAGUACUAUAAAUUUUGACUCAUCGAAGCUCAGAAAAAUAUAAAAAAUAUAAAAUAAAUAAUUCGGCUACAUAAGUAUUAAAAGGUUAUAUCAAACUUCGAAACGUAUGGAGUAUGUUUUCCUUUUUCUCCAUUUCCUAUCAGAUUUCCGGAAAAACACGAUUACUCGAGGCCAUGACUCGUUGUUUUAAAAAUGGUAAACAGGAAUUGAUUUUUAAAAAUACGUAAAUUUACUUCUUAAUUUUAAAAAUUUAUUCAAAGGAAAACGAUACUCGAUUUCAACUCAAUAAUUAAAUCGUUUUCUUUCUUAAGCAUCAAAAGUGAUCUCAAACUCCAGAGUUAGAAAACAUCAACAAUCAUUCCUCUUCGUUUUAGCAGAUUUCUGGAAACACGAUCGCUCGAGGCCACGAUUACUCUCUGCCUUAAAAGUGACGGAGAAGAAUUGAAGAAUUUAAAAUUCACCGAAUGUCGUGUCGGGGGCGAUCUCGUUGAAAAGCAACACUUUAUUAAAAAUUCUCUACCUAUUAGCUCUAGCCACGACUCUGCCAAGUCUCUCGAGAGCAUUGAAAGGAACUCACAAAUUACAUUAUUAGUACCCUCGAACACGCGUCACUGUUCGCAUCGGCGUGGACAAGCAUGGACAAUUUAAUAUGGACACCCCACAACAACCUGGUAACUCAACGCGUGUACAGAAAAUAUCAAAGAGGAAGUAGUAAUAUCACCAACCAAUAAAUAGACUAUACCUAUUCAUACAACCUCGAGUACACGCAUACGCGCGCGCGCACACAUACACGCAAUAUUCUUCAUUCACCUAACUACACCAACAACAAUUACCCCAACAGCAAAAUGAACAACUUACGUUCGUCCACCAUUCAAUACCAGGAAGAAGAGGCAUCAAGCAAUUCGUCGUCUACGAAUUCUCGGCUAGCCACGAGGACGUCCUACUUUCCAAUUAAAAAAAAGAAAAAACUCUUGAAUUUCCUGCACGAAGUUCAAUUUCUCACACUUACGUACGCGAUAUUUUUUUAAAAAUUUAUAUCAGAUUUUUAGAUUUAUAAGAAAUUUUCAACAAAUUUUGUCAAAUCGAUUUACAAAAUCGAAGAUAUACCGCGAUUUGGUAUUAGAUGGGUAUUUUUUUAUUGUGCAUGAUCAACUUCGAUAACGAGUUGAAACGAUCGAAAUUGCGGUUUCUUAGACCCGAAGUGACGAAGAAGUGACGAUUGCAGAUGGGUCCGUUCUGCGCGCCGUCGAGCGCACUACUGCUGGGACCGAUCGCCGGUGGCAACGUACCGGCUCCAACAUAAGCGUAUUCUAAACGUCAAUCGGAUCUAAGACCGUGACCGCGAUGCACCGUGUUGAUUUUACUUGUUCAUUGAUUGUCUGUGUGUGUGAUAAGAGACUGUUGCUCGAAGCAGAAGUAGCAGAUUUCUGCAACUUUUCAUCACGAUUGGUGUCGCAAAUCCUUGACAUACAUCAUUAUGCCGUUAUUAAGGCAGGAUGCACAUAGUGGAUUCGAAAUUAAUAUAUAUAUAUAUAUAUAUAUAUAUAU